GUUUAGCGGCGGACGGGUGAGUAACACGUGGGCAACCUGCCCUGCAGAUCGGGAUAACUCCGGGAAACCGGUGCUAAUACCGAAUAGUUUAUCGUUCCUCCUGGAACGGUACGGAAAGACGGUUUCGGCUGUCACUGCAGGAUGGGCCCGCGGCGCAUUAGCUAGUUGGUGGGGUAAUGGCCCACCAAGGCGACGAUGCGUAGCCGACCUGAGAGGGUGAUCGGCCACACUGGGACUGAGACACGGCCCAGACUCCUACGGGAGGCAGCAGUAGGGAAUCUUCCGCAAUGGACGCAAGUCUGACGGAGCAACGCCGCGUGAGUGACGAAGGUUUUCGGAUCGUAAAACUCUGUUGUGAGGGAAGAACAAGUACCAAUUAACUACUGGUACCGUGACGGUACCUCACCAGAAAGCCACGGCUAACUACGUGCCAGCAGCCGCGGUAAUACGUAGGUGGCAAGCGUUGUCCGGAAUUAUUGGGCGUAAAGCGCGCGCAGGCGGUCCUUUAAGUCUGAUGUGAAAGCCCACGGCUCAACCGUGGAGGGUCAUUGGAAACUGGAGGACUUGAGUGCAGAAGAGGAAAGUGGAAUUCCCCGUGUAGCGGUGAAAUGCGUAGAGAUGUGGAGGAACACCNGUGGCGAAGGCGACUUUCUGGUCUGUAACUGACGCUGAGGCGCGAAAGCGUGGGGAGCAAACAGGAUUAGAUA
This 707-nucleotide ribosomal RNA is filed under the name Planomicrobium sp. 1DT27M1. Its description in RNAcentral is "bacterial SSU rRNA". It matches the Rfam family "Bacterial small subunit ribosomal RNA", at positions 90 to 784 of the family's 1533-position model. The record is from RNAcentral. Lineage: Bacteria; Bacillati; Bacillota; Bacilli; Caryophanales; Caryophanaceae.